Oncorhynchus nerka (sockeye salmon) is the source of this 2392-nucleotide long non-coding RNA. RefSeq lists it as uncharacterized. Lineage: Eukaryota; Metazoa; Chordata; Actinopteri; Salmoniformes; Salmonidae. The transcript has 2 exons. The record is from RefSeq and is a predicted model, not a curated record.
UUUAUAUGGACCGAUUUAAUCGAAAUAAAGACCCAAAUAGUGUUUAUGGGACAUCUAGGAGUGCCAACAAAGAAGAUGGUGAAAGGUAAUGAAUGUUUUCUAUUUUAUUGUGCGGUUUGUGUAACGCCGAAAUGCUAAUUAUUUUGUUUACGUCCCCUGUGGGUCUUUUGGGGUGUUACAUGCUAUCAGAUAAUAGCUUCUCAUGCUUUCGCCGAAAAGCAUUUUAAAAAUCUGACUUGUUGCCUGCAUUCACAACGAGUGUAGCUUUAAUUCGAUACCCUGCAUGUGUAUUUUAAUGAACUUUUGAGUUUUAACUAAUACUAUUAGCAUUUAGCGUAGCGCAUUUGCAUUUCCAGAGCUCUAGUUGGGACGCAAGCGUCCCGAGUAGAAGCAACAGGUUAAGUAAACAUAUCCGUAGACGAUGUUUAAAACUUAUGAUUAAUGAUUUGAGUCAAAGGGGAAUUAUCAUUAGGUUUUAGUUAUAGUUCACUUAUUGAGUUUCUGAUUCGAGGUAGCAUUAGUGAAUGAUAGUUAGGGAUGUGGUGUCACUUUUAGAGGCCUCCUGGGAUUAUAAUUUUGGGGGAGAGAGCAGCUUUAAACGACCAAAUUGAAAAAGGUCUGCAAAUUAUAUAUAUAUAUAAAACAACUGUUAGAACGAUUUGUUUUAGUGCAAGGAGAUUUUAAAGAGGCACGCUCACAUAUGGAACCUAAUGAGAUGUUUUUUUAUGGGUUUGAAUUAUACAGGUGACUAUUUCUAUUGUAAGGAUAAAAGGGAUCUUUAUGUCUAAUAUGGUAUGACCUUUUGACCUUAUCAUGACUGGCUUCUGGGGUCUGAUCAGCCCCAGGGGAGAGUCAUUUGUAUAAUGAAUGGAGUCAUAUUGAGUUACUAGUGUUAAGGUAAAUUCAUUAGAAAUGAAGCAGUUCUGGUUGAGGGUUUAGAAUUACUGUUUGAACCGCAAAUGAGAAAGUGGUUCAGGAUUCUGUCUUAUAACAUUAGCUGUGAGUUUUUUUUUUUUUUUGAAUGGGCUAUUAGGAAGUCUGUAUUGUAACAGAGAGAAAGUCAUGUUCAGCAUUGAGAAUAAAUAGGGGAAGAUAACAUAUUUUGAGCCAACAGGGCACGGAAGAAAUUGAGGUAUUUUUAUUUGAUUUUAACACCCGUGUACAGGAGUGUCAAAAGACGGGGGACAUUACCUGUGUAAUGGGGGAGGGUGUCCGUAUGGGGAUUACAUGAUAACCAACUUGGGACAGUUCUGGGACUGGAGAAGAGGAUAUCCUUAUGGCAUAGGGAAUCCCACAAAGGUGGAUAGGUUUUCCAUGAUAUGGGGGAAACCUGGGAGUACUGUUGAACUUUAUUAUUUGUUAUUAAUGUGAUGUGCUGCUUGCAUCAUACCGUGUUUUAAGUCUGUUACAGAUGUGGUGAAGGCUUCAGGCAUGAUGCCUUUGCUUGAUGCUCCAGUUGGAGAGGCUGAGGUGAAGCAUGCUUUGAGGGGAGGAUAAGACUGACUGAGGAUGACCCAUGUAUGUUUGUUCUCCCUGUCGUGAAGGGUGGCAUGGUGCCCACCUGGUGCUGGAUAAGAAUAGCUGAGAGGACCAGAUGGGUUAUAAGAAUGCUUUGUUCUGCUUUACUCUGUUUUACAGGACCAAAGUUUUAUUCCACACUUUGCAACACAUUAAAUCCAUGUUAUUGUCAGAUAGAAUACUGAGGGUCCCCAAGGAGAGGGCUUGUUAGUGUAGGAAGGAUUUUUAAUAUGGUUAGCAUUUAUUAGAUUAUAAGUUUUUAAAUAGUAUUAUAUUUAACAGGAAUAUAGGACAUCUAUGAGGAGUUAGGAUUAUUGUUAGGAUUAAGAUAGAUUGAUUAAGGAAUUUGGAGAAAAGCCGCUCAUAGACAUGUUUUUUUUUCUAAAAGAGGGUCCAUGGGUUUGUAGUUCCCAUGUAGUUCAAAUUUGGAAAACAUGAGAAACAUACAGAGGAGCCCUCCCCCGCACUGCAGAGACCUUGAAGGUUGGAGAGCAGAGAAGUUAGAGGGGGGGCCAGGAAGAGCAAAGAUAACAUCCUAAAUGGAAUUUCAGACAUAAGGAUAAUUCACUAAAUCUUAUCUAAGUCAUUGUAUAAGAAUAAGGCAAGGGGGAUGGGUAAAUAGUGUUCUAGAAUAGGAUGUGACCUACGGGAUAAUUAACUAAUAAAAAAAUAAAAAAUAAAUGUUAAUUGGUUUGAUGAAUAAGAAACUGUUUUAUUAACCAAACCUGUAUGGUCAAAAGUUUUAUGCCCAGCAGGAGAACUACAGAGGGAGGUGGCACACGAGAUUCAACCAGGAGACUGGAUCUGGAUCCAAUCACUAAAAAGAAAAAAAAACUGGAAGCAGCCUCGGUGGGAGGGACCAUUCCAAGUACUA